Molecule: long non-coding RNA, 1545 nt
Organism: Oncorhynchus tshawytscha (Chinook salmon)
Lineage: Eukaryota; Metazoa; Chordata; Actinopteri; Salmoniformes; Salmonidae
Exons: 2
Source: RefSeq, a predicted model, not a curated record
AAUGUGGCAAAAGGUCGCAAAGUUCAAGGGGGCCGAAUACUUUCGCAAGGCACUGUAUGUAAUCUUUCAUUCUCUCCAACAACUCUAGGUACCGCCUGUCGUCAGACAGGUUACAACUACCAAGCUACUCUUUACCAUGGGUCGUGUCCACCAAGGAAACAUUUGUUGGUGAAUCUGAACGAUCUCAUUUCAAGCCGGAAGUGUUUAAGUGUGUGAGGUGCCUCUUUGUGGACACCUUUGCUUGACGGAUCUUACCACAGACGUCACCGAAGGUCACCGAAGGUGUGCGUCGUCAUCAUAUUGGGAAGCCAAAAGUGUGUAUGUUCCAGUCAAAGGAUUGCACUGCUGAACGGAUCUGCAAAGAGCUGGAACAAAUUUGGGGUGAAUUAUUAUGCCCCGUCCUCUUCAACUCCACACCGCUGGUUGCCGCACUGAGUAUAAACCAAGGCAGAGAAGUGGUUUCUUAUAGUAUUUAUCCUUUGAAAACGAGUUGACUGGAAAGGUACUGUUUGUGUGUGCCCAAACACACAGAGAUAGACGGACAUGGAAUAAGGCAGCCACUUUAGCUUGUUCUGUGACUGCUGAAGGGGUGUAGAAACACUGACAUGUACUGGCCAUUGAGAGAACUAGACCUCUUUUGCAGCAAUGGUGAAAAUGUGUGAAUUUUUUUUAGCGACUAUUAUAACGGCCUUUUGGGAUGUUCGAAAAUCAUCAGCCAUGUUCAACUGGUAUAUAUUGAUGAUGAUCAACACUGUCCUUUUGUUGCCAAAGGAGAGAGAGAUGUAUUCUGUUUUCUAUUGUACAAAUAUUCACAGCCACAGUACAAGGUACUACCAUGUAUUUUCCCAACCGAUACACUGCUCUCUGUGAAGCUGUUUGCUUCUGACAGUGAUACUGCACAGAUCGUCAGUGAUGCAUUGGUCUAUUAUCUCCGGCUCAGUCAAACAGGUUUCGAGAGCCCAUCAUAUUGAUAGUUCUGCUGUUGACCGCCGUCUGGAUGUCUCUCUCCUUCUCUCUCUCUCUCUCUCCUCACACAUAUCCGAUGUGUUUCUCAGCACUUCCAGCUCACUGGAUCACAGUUCCAGUAUAUCUUAUGUGUGUUGAGGUGAACGCCAGAAGACCACAUGAGCGAAAAGGACUGCUCCUUGUUCACAACAUGAGUUCCUAACAGUCGCCCAGAAUGUUUCUGCAUGUCUGAUUGACUGUUUCUUUGGUGUUGAUACAAUGUCAACGUAUUGGUUCGGUUUUGAGUUUCUCUUUUCUAUUUCCCCGAUGGUCUGGUAGGCACACAGGCCCGGUGGAUUAACAACCCGCCUUCCCAGAACAUUGGUGUUUUCCUCGGGAACAAAACCAGCAGCUAUUCAAAAAGGUUUUUCUCUCUCUUUUUCCCUCUCCCUACGGCAUGUAUUUGAAGUAUAGCUGAAGAAGCAUUAAGAAUAAAUGAGACGGUUUCUCAAUUUUCAUCUCCACACAAACGAGGUAUCAAAAGUAUUAUUCAACAGGUGGGGUAAAUAACUCUCAAAACAGUUCCUAUGCAAAAUCAAA